This 478-nucleotide ribosomal RNA is filed under the name uncultured bacterium. RNAcentral describes it as "partial 16S ribosomal RNA". It matches the Rfam family "Bacterial small subunit ribosomal RNA", at positions 28 to 523 of the family's 1533-position model. The record is from RNAcentral.
GACGAACGCUGGCGGCGUGCUUAACACAUGCAAGUCGAACGGUAAGGCCCUUCGGGGUACACGAGUGGCGAACGGGUGAGUAACACGUGGGUGAUCUGCCCUGCACUUCGGGAUAAGCCUGGGAAACUGGGUCUAAUACCGGAUAGGACCACUGCCUGCAUGGGUGGUGGUGGAAAGCUUUUGCGGUGUGGGAUGGGCCCGCGGCCUAUCAGCUUGUUGGUGGGGUGAUGGCCUACCAAGGCGACGACGGGUAGCCGGCCUGAGAGGGCGACCGGCCAAACUGGGACUGAUGUACGGCCCAGACUCCUACGGGAGGCAGCAGUGGGGAAUAUUGCACAAUGGGCGCAAGCCUGAUGCAGCGACGCCGCGUGAGGGAUGACGGCCUUCGGGUUGUAAACCUCUUUCAGCACCGACGAAGCGCAAGUGACGGUAGGUGCAGAAGAAGGACCGGCCAACUACGUGCCAGCCGCCGCAGUAA